AGCAAACUUGAGUCUAACAAUAGUUCAUCUAACAAAGAGGAAAUUGUGAAAUCACCCUCGGUGAAGAUUGCUGGGGAAGCUACGAUGACACCAGCUAACCUCUAUGCGGUGCUCCUCCAACAAGCUCUUCAUCAAUUCGAGCCACCUGUGCUGCUACAGAUUAGUUUGCAUUUGGGCUGAACUCUAUAUGCAUUUUUCUUUCACAAACCAGUUGCAAAUCCAAACAAUCUGGUAAUGAAAUGAGCCAUUCCCGAGGAAAAAGCCAAAUCAGCAUGCAAGCAAUGAACACUUGCAGUGUCCCUUCAAAUUAAAGGACCACUCACUAGACUCCCUAUUUUUUCUGGGUUUGUUUUCCACUUACAGCUGCAUGAGCAUCUUCUGGCCACUGUGAAUUCUGAAAAGUUCUCAACGCAGCUUAAAUCCCUCUAUGAUGAAUCUAUUGAUGGAAUUGGCUCCGAAUUUCCUUUUUAAGGAGGCCUCAGAUGCUACCCUUUUGAGUAUGUGAUGAUAUCUUCGCAUAUCAAUAUUAGACCUUGCUGUUGAUAAUAAAACAAGCUAUAAUAUGUAUAUAUAAAUAUAUUUUUAUUUGUAUUGUCAAUAAUUUUGUUUUGUUUUAAAUAUAUUUUUGUAUUGUUGGAGGAUGUUUUAUAUAUUUCUGUAAAGAAUAUUUGGUUGACACUGUAUUGUUACAGGGUACAUAUAUAUAUAUAU
This is a non-coding RNA of Camellia sinensis, 711 nucleotides long. The record is from RefSeq and is a predicted model, not a curated record. NCBI's taxonomy places the organism in Eukaryota, Viridiplantae, Streptophyta, Magnoliopsida, Ericales, Theaceae.